This 406-nucleotide ribosomal RNA is filed under the name uncultured bacterium. RNAcentral describes it as "bacterial SSU rRNA". It matches the Rfam family "Bacterial small subunit ribosomal RNA", at positions 97 to 520 of the family's 1533-position model. The record is from RNAcentral.
GGCGAACGGGUGAGUAACACGUGAGCAACCUGCCCCGAAGACCGGGAUAACAGCGGGAAACCGCUGCUAAUACCGGAUACCCCCAUCGGGCCACAUGGCCUGAUGAGGAAAUGGAUUCCGCUUCGGGAGGGGCUCGCGGCCUAUCAGCUUGUUGGUGGGGUAACGGCCCACCAAGGCGACGACGGGUAGCUGGUCUGAGAGGACGAUCAGCCACACUGGGACUGAGACACGGCCCAGACUCCUACGGGAGGCAGCAGUGGGGAAUACUGCGCAAUGGGCGAAAGCCUGACGCAGCAACGCCGCGUGAGGGAUGAAGGCCUUCGGGUUGUAAACCUCUUUCGAGCAGGGACGAUAAUGACGGUACCUGCAGAAGAAGCUCCGGCCAACUACGUGCCAGCCGCCGCGG